RNAcentral lists this ribosomal RNA (441 nucleotides) under uncultured bacterium. RNAcentral describes it as "partial 16S ribosomal RNA". It matches the Rfam family "Bacterial small subunit ribosomal RNA", at positions 338 to 795 of the family's 1533-position model. The record is from RNAcentral.
CCUACGGGAGGCUGCAGUCGGGAAUAUUGCGCAAUGGAGGAAACUCUGACGCAGUGACGCCGCGUAUAGGAAGAAGGCUUUCGGAUUGUAAACUAUUGUCGGUAGGGAAGAUAAAAGACUGUACCUAAGGAGGAAGCCCCGGCUAACUAUGUGCAAGCAGCCGCGGUAAUACAUAGGGGGCAAGCGUUAUCCGGAAUUAUGGGGUGUAAAGGGGGCGUAGACGGAAGAACAAGUUGGUUGUGAAAUCCCUGGGCUCAACUGAGGAACUGCAACCAAAACUAUUCUCCUUGAGUGGAGGUGAGGGAAGUGGAAUGCCUGGUGUAGCGGUGAAAUGCGUAGAUAUUAGGCAGAACACCGGUGGCGAAGGCGGCUUUCCGGACGAUAACUGACGUUGAGGCACGAAAGUGUGGGGAGCGAACAGGAUUAGAUACCCUUGUAGUC